CCUACGGGAGGCAGCAGUGAGGAAUAUUGGUCAAUGGGCGCGAGCCUGAACCAGCCAAGCAGCGUGAAGGAUGACUGUCCUCCGGGUUGUAAACUUCUUUUAUAAGGGAAUAAAGUGAGGCACGUGUGCCUUGUUGUAUGUACUUUAUGAAUAAGGAUCGGCUAACUCCGUGCCAGCAGCCGCGGUAAUACGGAGGAUCCGAGCGUUAUCCGGAUUUAUUGGGUUUAAAGGGAGCGUAGAUGGGUUGUUAAGUCAGUUGUGAAAGUUUGCGGCUCAACCGCAAAAUUGCAAUUGAUACUGGCAGUCUUGAGUACAGUUGAGGUAGGCGGAAUUCGAGGUGUAGCGGUGAAAUGCUUAGAUAUCACGAAGAACUCCGAUUGCGAAGGCAGCUUACUAACCCGACACUGACACUGAUGCUCGAAAGCGUGGGUAUCAAACAGGAUUAGAUACCCGUGUAGUC
RNAcentral lists this ribosomal RNA (460 nucleotides) under uncultured bacterium. RNAcentral describes it as "partial 16S ribosomal RNA". It matches the Rfam family "Bacterial small subunit ribosomal RNA", at positions 338 to 795 of the family's 1533-position model. The record is from RNAcentral.